Molecule: ribosomal RNA, 253 nt
Filed under: uncultured bacterium
Lineage: Bacteria
Description: partial 16S ribosomal RNA
Rfam family: Bacterial small subunit ribosomal RNA
Source: RNAcentral
UACGGAGGAUCCGAGCGUUAUCCGGAUUUAUUGGGUUUAAAGGGUGCGUAGGCGGCCUAUUAAGUCAGGGGUGAAAUACGGUGGCUCAACCAUCGCAGUGCCUUUGAUACUGACGGGCUUGAAUCCAUUUGAAGUGGGCGGAAUAAGACAAGUAGCGGUGAAAUGCAUAGAUAUUACAAGGAACACCAACGGCGAAGGCAGCACUCUGGGCCGGUACUGACGCUGAGGAGCGAAAGCGUGGGUAGCAAACAGG